UUGCUCUUAGUUCAGCUUGGUAGAACGCAGGUCUCCAAAACCUGAUGUCGUAGGUUCAAAUCCUACAGAGCGAG
This 74-nucleotide transfer RNA is filed under the name Sequoiadendron giganteum (giant sequoia). RNAcentral's name for it is "tRNA-Trp". It matches the Rfam family "tRNA". From Rfam's summary of the family: Transfer RNA (tRNA) molecules are approximately 80 nucleotides in length. The record is from RNAcentral. Lineage: Eukaryota; Viridiplantae; Streptophyta; Pinopsida; Cupressales; Cupressaceae.